Molecule: long non-coding RNA, 667 nt
Organism: Mesoplodon densirostris (Blainville's beaked whale)
Lineage: Eukaryota; Metazoa; Chordata; Mammalia; Artiodactyla; Ziphiidae
Exons: 4
Source: RefSeq, a predicted model, not a curated record
CGAGGGGGACCAGGCCUGCGGCGAGGGCGCGCCCCCGGGCGGGCGUGGGCGCGGGCGCGCGCGUUCCCGGGACUCAGUGUCUGUGAGGAUCCCUCGCCAGGCCGGGCCUGUCACCUCCAGAUCGCUACCUGAGCAUAUUUCCCUUCAGUUACUUGAGUCGGCUCCAUCUUCUCCCCGCCCUUCUCUUCCUUGGGGGAUUUUCCAAAACAUUAAUGGAAAGACAGUCCGAUGACAAGAUUCCUCAUGAAGAGAAGGAAGACUGUCCAUAAAAUAUGCCAUGAGCAAAGACAAGGAAACAAGACUGCAGAUGCAUUCUGUGGUUCCAGGAAUUCAGAAGCAUAGUCUCAGCCCUCCUGUGUCUGACACAUAGGGAAAUCUGGCACAUAGGGAAAUCAUCACAAUACAAGGUGUCAAUCAAGUUAAAAUUAAAAGAAGAAAGAGAGAAGAGGUAGAAAGAGAGAGAAGAGAGACGAGAGAGAAGAAAACUGGUUGCUUUAGGUUAUGUACUCAGCUGUUGGCUAGGGAAAGAUGGCAUUUUGAUACUUUCACCAAGAUUGCACAUAAUGGACAAGGUUGCCCACUCUCACAACUGUUAUUCAACAGAGUUUUGGAAGUUUUAGCCACAGCAAUCAGAGAAGAAAAAUAAAUAAAAGGAAUCCAAAUCGGA